CAGAGACUGCAAGCGUUAUUCGGAUUCACUGGGCGUAAAGGGUGCGCAGGCGGCCAAGUGUGUGAGGCGUGAAAGCCCGGGGCUUAACCCCGGAAUUGCACCUCAAACUACAUGGCUAGAGCAUUGGAGAGGGUAGCAGAAUUCAUGGUGUAGCAGUGAAAUGCGUAGAUAUCAUGAGGAAUACCAGAGGCGAAGGCGGCUACCUGGACAAUUGCUGACGCUCAGGCACGAAAGCGUGGGGAGCAAAAGGGAUUAGAUACCCCUGUAGUCCACGCCCUAAACGGUGCACACUAGGUCUUGGCGGAUUCGACCUCCCCAGGGCCCCAGCUAACGCGUUAAGUGUGCCGCCUGAGGACUACGGCCGCAAGGCUA
Molecule: ribosomal RNA, 372 nt
Filed under: uncultured organism
Description: bacterial SSU rRNA
Rfam family: Bacterial small subunit ribosomal RNA
Source: RNAcentral